GUGGGGAAUAUUGCACAAUGGGCGCAAGCCUGAUGCAGCGACGCCGCGUGGGGGAUGAAGGCCUUCGGGUUGUAAACUCCUUUCGCUAUCGACGAAGCCACUUGUGGUGACGGUAGGUAGAUAAGAAGCACCGGCUAACUACGUGCCAGCAGCCGCGGUAAUACGUAGGGUGCAAGCGUUGUCCGGAAUUACUGGGCGUAAAGAGCUCGUAGGUGGUUUGUCGCGUCGUCUGUGAAAUCCCGGGGCUUAACUUCGGGCGUGCAGGCGAUACGGGCAUAACUUGAGUGCUGUAGGGGAGACUGGAAUUCCUGGUGUAGCGGUGAAAUGCGCAGAUAUCAGGAGGAACACCGAUGGCGAAGGCAGGUCUCUGGGCAGUUACUGACGCUGAGGAGCGAAAGCAUGGGUAGCGAACAGGAUUAGAUACCCCGGUAGUCC
This 435-nucleotide ribosomal RNA is filed under the name uncultured bacterium. Its description in RNAcentral is "bacterial SSU rRNA". It matches the Rfam family "Bacterial small subunit ribosomal RNA", at positions 354 to 796 of the family's 1533-position model. The record is from RNAcentral.